CGGGGCGUGGUCAAGGCGGCGGCCCCUAGAGGGGGAGAGGGUCUGUGUGCACGUGGACCCGUCCUGGAGCGGCGAGAAUCCGGAGUUUCCAGGGAAGUGAAGCAGCAAAAGCAGACUUUCACCUCUUUUUUGAGUCUCCGUGCCUCUGUGUAGUCUUACAACACUGUCCUCCCAUGCUGCCAGCUGAUAAAUGGAAUAUUGCCUGCCGUAUCAGUAAACAGAGAAUGUCAGUCAUCAGCGAUUGCAGCCACAGCUGAUGGUGAGCUGGUGAGCCUUGAGGAAACUCAGGAUAUUAAAACACAGGAUGCUGGCCCCAGAUAGCUGAGGUGCGUAUCAAAGGAAUGAUUUCGGGGCUGGAACGACUCGCCAGCACCUUUGUGCUCAAAGGAACUUCCCUGGAGCCCAGAUGUAUGACUAAGGAAGGAUGGCGAAUAGACAGUCACUCACUCAUUCUGGAUUUACUGAGUACCCACCGCGUGCCAGACUAUGCGCUAAGUGCUGAGGUUUAUGACUGUAAACAAAGCAGCCACGGGCCCUGCCCUCGUGGAGUCACAGGCCAGUGAGAAGGACGGAUACUGAACAAAUGGACACAAACUUAUUUACGCAACUACAAGUUGAGAUGUGUACUAUGAAAGAAAAGAGCAGGGUGUCUGACAGAGAAUGACUGGGGUACCUGAUUUUGGAAGAAGAUCUACAAGGCCUCUGAGAGAAAAGGCCGUCUAUGCUGAGACGUGCCGUCAGCCAGGCAAAGAAGAGGAGGAAGAGUGUUUGAAGCAGUGGAUCCUCAGGCAGAGGUCCUGAAGCAGCAAAGAGCUUGGUGCAUUCCAGGGACUUCAGACAAACCAACCAACAACAAGUGAGUAAAAGUAGAGGAGACUGGAGAAAUGAGGGUCCAGGAAGGGCCUUGUAAACUCUAUCAGACAAGAUCCCAGAGGAAAUAGAUAGCACCCUCAAGCUGGGUAGAGAGUUUAAUA
Long non-coding RNA from Lagenorhynchus albirostris (white-beaked dolphin), 974 nucleotides. RefSeq lists it as uncharacterized. The record is from RefSeq and is a predicted model, not a curated record. Lineage: Eukaryota; Metazoa; Chordata; Mammalia; Artiodactyla; Delphinidae. The transcript has 3 exons.